UGGGGAAUUUUGNCACAAUGGGCGCAAGCCUGAUCCAGCCAUGCCGCGUGUCUGAAGAAGGCCUUCGGGUUGUAAAGGACUUUUGUCAGGGAAGAAAAGGAUAGGGUUAAUACCCCUGUCUGAUGACGGUACCUGAAGAAUAAGCACCGGCUAACUACGUGCCAGCAGCCGCGGUAAUACGUAGGGUGCGAGCGUUAAUCGGAAUUACUGGGCGUAAAGCGGGCGCAGACGGUUACUUAAGCAGGAUGUGAAAUCCCCGGGCUCAACCUGGGAACUGCGUUCUGAACUGGGUGACUAGAGUGUGUCAGAGGGAGGUAGAAUUCCACGUGUAGCAGUGAAAUGCGUAGAGAUGUGGAGGAAUACCGAUGGCGAAGGCAGCCUCCUGGGAUAACACUGACGUUCAUGCCCGAAAGCGUGGGUAGCAAACAGGAUUAGAUACCCUGGUGGUCCACGCCCUAAACGAUGUCGAUUAGCUGUUGGGCAGCUUGACUGCUUAGUAGCGAAGCUAACGCGUGAAAUCGACCGCCUGGGGAGUACGGUCGCAAGAUUA
Molecule: ribosomal RNA, 550 nt
Filed under: uncultured bacterium
Lineage: Bacteria
Description: bacterial SSU rRNA
Rfam family: Bacterial small subunit ribosomal RNA
Source: RNAcentral